This 694-nucleotide ribosomal RNA is filed under the name uncultured bacterium. Its description in RNAcentral is "bacterial SSU rRNA". It matches the Rfam family "Bacterial small subunit ribosomal RNA", at positions 32 to 715 of the family's 1533-position model. The record is from RNAcentral.
AACGCUAGCUACAGGCUUAACACAUGCAAGUCGAGGGGCAGCAUGAUUGAAGCUUGCUUCAAUUGAUGGCGACCGGCGCACGGGUGAGUAACACGUAUCCAACCUUCCGUACACUCAGGGAUAGCCUUUCGAAAGAAAGAUUAAUACCUGAUAGUAUGGUGAGAUUGCAUGAUGGCACCAUUAAAGAUUUAUUGGUAAACGAUGGGGAUGCGUUCCAUUAGGUAGUAGGCGGGGUAACGGCCCACCUAGCCGGCGAUGGAUAGGGGUUCUGAGAGGAAGGUCCCCCACAUUGGAACUGAGACACGGUCCAAACUCCUACGGGAGGCAGCAGUGAGGAAUAUUGGUCAAUGGGCGAGAGCCUGAACCAGCCAAGUAGCGUGAAGGAUGAAGGUCCUACGGAUUGUAAACUUCUUUUAUACGGGAAUAAAGUUUCCUACGUGUAGGAUUUUGUAUGUACCGUAUGAAUAAGCAUUGGCUAACUCCGUGCCAGCAGCCGCGGUAAUACGGAGGAUGCGAGCGUUAUCCGGAUUUAUUGGGUUUAAAGGGAGCGCAGACGGGAGAUUAAGUCAGUUGUGAAAGUUUGCGGCUCAACCGUAAAAUUGCAGUUGAUACUGGUUUCCUUGAGUGCAGUUGAGGCAGGCGGAAUUCGUGGUGUAGCGGUGAAAUGCUUAGAUAUCACGAAGAACUCCGAUUG